AUUGAACGCUGGCGGCAGGCCUAACACAUGCAAGUCGAACGGCAGCACAGAAGAGCUUGCUCUUUGGGUGGCGAGUGGCGGACGGGUGAGUAAUGUCUGGGAAACUGCCCGAUGGAGGGGGAUAACUACUGGAAACGGUAGCUAAUACCGCAUAACGUCGCGAGACCAAAGUGGGGGACCUUCGGGCCUCACACCAUCGGAUGUGCCCAGAUGGGAUUAGCUAGUAGGUGGGGUAAUGGCUGACCUAGGCGACGAUCCCUAGCUGGUCUGAGAGGAUGACCAGCCACACUGGAACUGAGACACGGUCCAGACUCCUACGGGAGGCAGCAGUGGGGAAUAUUGCACAAUGGGCGCAAGCCUGAUGCAGCCAUGCCGCGUGUAUGAAGAGGGCCUUCGGGUUGUAAAGUACUUUCAGCGGGGAGGAAGGCGGUGAGGUUAAUAACCUUGCCGAUUGACGUUACCCGCAGAAGAAGCACCGGCUAACUCCGUGCCAGCCGCCGCAUAA
This 505-nucleotide ribosomal RNA is filed under the name uncultured bacterium. Its description in RNAcentral is "partial 16S ribosomal RNA". It matches the Rfam family "Bacterial small subunit ribosomal RNA", at positions 30 to 522 of the family's 1533-position model. The record is from RNAcentral.